CCUACGGGAGGCAGCAGUGGGGAAUAUUGCACAAUGGGGGAAACCCUGAUGCAGCGACGCCGCGUGAGUGAAGAAGUAAUUCGUUAUGUAAAGCUCUAUCAGCAGGGAAGAACAUGACGGUACCUGAGUAAGAAUCCCCGGCUAACUACGUGCCAGCAGCCGCGGUCAUACGUAGGGGGCAAGCGUUCUCCGGAUGUACUGGGUGGAAAGGGAGCGUAGACGGCAGUGCAAGUCUGGAGUGAAAGGCGGGGGCUCAACCCCCGGACUGCUCUGGAAACUGUACGGCUGGAGUGCAGGAGAGGUAAGUGGAAUUCCUAGUGUAGCGGUGAAAUGCGUAGAUAUUAGGAGGAACACCAGUGGCGAAGGCGACUUACUGGACUGUAACUGACGUUGAGGAUCGAGAGCGUGGGGAGCAAACAGGAUUAGAUACCCGUGUAGUC
Molecule: ribosomal RNA, 440 nt
Filed under: uncultured bacterium
Lineage: Bacteria
Description: partial 16S ribosomal RNA
Rfam family: Bacterial small subunit ribosomal RNA
Source: RNAcentral